RNAcentral lists this ribosomal RNA (918 nucleotides) under uncultured Snodgrassella sp. RNAcentral's name for it is "bacterial SSU rRNA". It matches the Rfam family "Bacterial small subunit ribosomal RNA", at positions 8 to 916 of the family's 1533-position model. Lineage: Bacteria; Pseudomonadati; Pseudomonadota; Betaproteobacteria; Neisseriales; Neisseriaceae. The record is from RNAcentral.
AGAGUUUGAUCCUGGCUCAGAUGGACGCUGGCGGCAUGCUUACACAGCAAAGUCGAACGGCAGCACGGAGAGCUUGCUCUUCUGUGGCGAGUGGCGAACGGGUGAGUAAUGCAUCGGAAACGUAACGAGUAAUGGGGAUUACUGUCCGGAAGGAUGGAUAAUUUCCGCAUACGUCCUGAGGAGAAAAGCGAGGAGAAUUUAGUGACCUCGCGUUAUUUGAGCGGCCGAUGUUGGAUUAGCUAGUUGGUGGGGUAAAGGCCUACCAAGGCGACGAUCCAUAGCGGGUCUGAGAGGAUGAUCCGCCACAUUGGGACUGAGACACGGCCCAAACUCCUACGGGAGGCAGCAGUGGGGAAUUUUGGACAAUGGGGGGAACCCUGAUCCAGCCAUGCCGCGUGUCUGAAGAAGGCCUUCGGGUUGUAAAGGACUUUUGUUAGAGAAGAAAAGCCGGGUGUUAAUACCACCUGGUGCUGACGGUACAUAAAGAAUAAGCACCGGCUAAAUACGUGCCAGCAGCCGCGUAAUUACGUAGGGUCCGAGCGUUAAUCGGAAUUACGGGGCGUAAAGCGAGCCCAGCCGUUUAAACAAGUCAGAUGUGAAAUCCCCGAGCUCAACUUGGGACGGCCAUUUGAAACUUGUUAACUAGAGUGGGUCAGAGGGAGGUAGAAUUCCACGGGUAGCAGGGAAAUGGGUAGAGAUUGGGAGGAAUCCCGAGGGGGAAGGCAGCCUCUUGGGAUCACACUGACGUUCAGGCUGGAAAGCGGGGGUACCAACCAGGAUUAGAUCCCUUGGUAGUCCACGCCUUAAACGAUGACAAUUAGCUGUUGGCACCCUAGAUGUUUUGGUAGGGAAGUAACCGCGUGAACUUGUCCCCUGGGGGAGUCCGGUCCCAGGUUUAAAACUCAAAUGAAUUGACGG